CUCAUCGUUCGCCUAUUGUUUUCAGAGAAAUGCUUUCCAGAGAUUCCUGCUGAAUUAGGAUACUGAGGCAGAUCUGAAAUUGCCGUGCACAGGCAGGAGAUGUCACCGCUGAAGUACUCCUGAAGUUAUCCACUAGGAACAGAUGACUGGGAGCUGACAUCGAGUGGCAGAGUACUGGAACAUCCUGCCUAGAUUGAUUGAGGAGAUUCCUUGUCUGGAGAUAUUCAAGACCUGUCUGGAUGCCUACCUGUGCAGCGUGCUGUAGGGACCGUGCUUUAGCAAAGAGGUUGAACUCAAUGGUCUCUAGAGGUCCCUUCCAACCCCUACAAUUCUGUGAGUCUGUGAGAAUUUAAUUGAGCUGGGAAUUUUUGCCACUGAAUCUCCAAGGAAGAUCCUUACACCUCAAAGUGCAGGACCACCUGAAGUUUUAGAAAUGCUUCCUAGUCUUCAUCUACUGGCAAACUAUUCAGGAGGCACAACUCAGGUGGUAGCAUGGCUACUGCUUACACUGACAGCGGGAUGAGAGAGUUUACAUUUCCUCCUGGAUUUUCCAGGUAAUCAGUAGAGAAGUCAGUUCCACAACAUGAUUAAAUCAGGUAAUUUUUUAUUUAAUAAAUCAUCUUCCCUCUAGAAUAAGUCACUUAAGUGGUCAUGUCUAGACUUGUAAUUGAAAUCCCUCUGGAAUUUGGCUGAGGAAAGUUACUGGCCAUACUAAAAGGCAGUGACUUUGCAUCUAAGCAAUGUGCAAAACAGCUGAACCAAACACAGAGUUGUAGACUACUUUACUGAACAAGUACAAGUACUGCUUUCAAAUGAACCAUAUUUUUCUUUUCCUUUCUUGGAUGUGGCAAUCAGUGAAAUAGAAUCCUAACAACUUAUGCA
Molecule: long non-coding RNA, 882 nt
Filed under: Gallus gallus (chicken)
Lineage: Eukaryota; Metazoa; Chordata; Aves; Galliformes; Phasianidae
Description: lncRNA (ENSGALG00010001075.1)
Source: RNAcentral